GACGAACGCUGGCGGCGUGCUUAACACAUGCAAGUCGAACGGAAAGGCCCUGCUUUUGUGGGGUGCUCGAGUGGCGAACGGGUGAGUAACACGUGAGUAACCUGCCCUUGACUUUGGGAUAACUUCAGGAAACUGGGGCUAAUACCGGAUAGGAGCUCCUGCUGCAUGGUGGGGGUUGGAAAGUUUCGGCUGUUGGGGAUGGAUUCGAGGCUUAUCAGCUUGUUGGUGGGGUAGUGGCUUACCAAGGCUUUGACGGGUAGCCGGCCUGAGAGGGUGACCGGCCACAUUGGGACUGAGAUACGGACCAGAAUCCAACGGGAGGCAGCGGGGGGGAAUAUUGCACAAUGGGCGGAAGCCUGAUGCAACAACGCCGCGUGCGGGAUGACGGCCUUCGAGUUGUAAACCGCUUUCGCCUGUGACGAAGCGUGAGUGACGGUAAUGGGUAAAGAAGCAACGGCUAACUACGUG
Molecule: ribosomal RNA, 468 nt
Filed under: uncultured bacterium
Lineage: Bacteria
Description: partial 16S ribosomal RNA
Rfam family: Bacterial small subunit ribosomal RNA
Source: RNAcentral